Molecule: ribosomal RNA, 436 nt
Filed under: uncultured Burkholderiales bacterium
Lineage: Bacteria; Pseudomonadati; Pseudomonadota; Betaproteobacteria; Burkholderiales
Description: bacterial SSU rRNA
Rfam family: Bacterial small subunit ribosomal RNA
Source: RNAcentral
CGAAAGGUAGGCUAAUACCGCAUACGUCCUGAGGGAGAAAGCGGGGGCUCGCAAGACCUCGUGUUAUAGGAGCGGCCGAUGUCGGAUUAGCUAGUUGGUGGGGUAAAGGCCUACCAAGGCGACGAUCCGUAGCGGGUCUGAGAGGACGGCCCGCCACACUGGGACUGAGACACGGCCCAGACUCCUACGGGAGGCAGCAGUGGGGAAUUUUGGACAAUGGGGGCAACCCUGAUCCAGCCAUGCCGCGUGAGUGAAGAAGGCCUUCGGGUUGUAAAGCUCUUUCGGCCGGGAAGAAAUCGCGCCAGCUAAUACCUGGUGUGGAUGACGGUACCGGAAGAAGAAGCACCGGCUAACUACGUGCCAGCAGCCGCGGUAAUACGUAGGGUCGCGACCGUUAAUCGGAAUUACUGGGCGUAAAGCGUGCGCAGGCGGUUUU